UGGAUUUUUUUUGUUCUAGUUUUUUAAUUCUGAAUUGUCUUAAAGUGUCAUACUUUUGUUUUAACUGUAAUCAAAUGUUUAAUUUUUUUUUUCUGUAAUCAAAGCUGCAUUACUAGAUUCUAGCAGCAGGAUGAAAUUCUUGCCUUAACAUGAGGAAAGACUUCAUAUCUUUAUUAAAGAAAAGGAGACAACGGCCAUUUUUCCAGAACUUUAAUUUCAGUACAGCUGACUGAUCUUGGGGAAGAACUGUCUUGGGAUCUUGCAGCAUUCUCUUUUGAAUCUGCUUAGUGCAAAUGCUACACCUUGCUCCAAGGAGAGGACUAGUCUAAGGACAAUUUAUUUUAGUGUGUUUGGUGUAGCCUGGAAAGACCUCAGGAUUAAAUGCCUGCAAUGAAGGCAGAACUGCCUCUUGUGAUUGUAUGUUUUUUCCAUAACCAAGAACUGGCUGGUAGAGCAGCCAGUCGGACGUUCUUCCAUUAAGAUAAUACGUGUCAAGUGAUAAGUAGCAAGCAAACAUUCUCAGUGGUAGAGAACCCUGAAAUAAAAGCUUCUGUCACUUAACUCCAUAAUUCCUUCCUGAUGAAUGCCAUGUGCUGACAUCUGCUACUGUAUGGAGAUUCCUACUUCUCUGAAGACAGUUAUCUUUCCCAGUAUGUCUAAGGUUCAAGGGAACUUUUCCUCAAGCUCACAAGUCUGUCUCCUGCCCCACAUUGCAGCAGCCUGGAGGACCAGCAGAAAGAAAAAUGUUGGGAGCUUCUUAUGGUCUAUUUUCUAA
RNAcentral lists this long non-coding RNA (775 nucleotides) under Apteryx owenii (little spotted kiwi). RNAcentral's name for it is "lncRNA (ENSAOWG00000000416.1)". The record is from RNAcentral. Lineage: Eukaryota; Metazoa; Chordata; Aves; Apterygiformes; Apterygidae.